CGGCACAUUAGAAAUUCCUUUUGUCUUGUCGUUCCUUGUGUGAAGAAAAAUAGUUUUUCAUUUACUUGAUUUCUUAUAUGUGUUCAACCCACUUGAUUUCUUAUGUGUGUUCAACCCCAAAAUUUUUGUGUGGAUUAUGAGUUAUGAAACUCUUCUUUGCUAGCACAUUAUCAAGGCAUAGCACUCCUAAUCCUUAAAGAAGGAUUUUCUAAUUCAUUGGUAUGGAUCACCAUUAGUGGCUGCACAAAGAUUCCUUGGACAGCUUUGGUUUACAACAACCAGCUGAGGUGGUUAAGCUUUUUGAAGGUUGAUUUAGUGGUUUAACAAAAGAUUCAUCAACCUUUGUUAUUUAGGUAAACUUGAUAUGAUCAUAUAUAUUUUAUUUUUAAUUUAAUUUUUUACUCAAUUUGGUAUGGAAGAGAUCUUAGGAGGGUGAGGCAUAAUCUAAUUUUUAAAUUUAUUUCUGCUGUGUUUUAUUUGUAUUUGAUGCAUGAUCAGUCCUGACCCAACACCUUUAACAUCAGGAGCUCAAUCCCUCUAUUCUAACCUCUAUUCUUCUUUCCCCUAGGUCGAUCCUUGGUUUUCAAACUUCCAAACAUUCCUCAAAUGGCUUCUAAAUGUUUCAAAAUGGCUGCAAAACGAAGCCACGGUGGAUCUUCUUCAAGGGUGCAUUUCUCGAUCCAUUUCAAGUCAACUUCGCACGCUCGGAAGAAGCACUCGCUACAAGACAUUCUUUGCUAGCAGAGGUGUUCACCGUUAUCUUAUAUAAUCUUAUCUAGAUAGAAUGAUCAUUAUGGGUUCUAUCUCAAAAGUGUAAAACACAGUGGUUUCCUUAAAUAAUCAAAUCUCCAACAUUUGCUAUUGUUGCUAAAAGAGCAGCCAUGAAAUGCCAAAAAUCAUGUUUCAAAAUAUGUCACAGUUCUUUUUUUUUUUUUUUUGAGUAACAAAUUUGAGAUGCGAAAUCGUGUUCAUUUUUAUAUAAUAUAUAUCAGGACAUUGUGAUUUAUACAUUUCAUUGCUGUUUGGCCGAUAAUAGGACUAUAAUGUUCUAUGUAUCAAGUGCAUGUCGAGAAGAUUGACCAGAAACUGCCAGAUAAAUCUAAAUGUAGAGCUAAACUCUUUGAAUAUUCUGUUUUUUUCUUUGACAGAUGCAUGAUUAUAUUGAAGAGAAAAAGAAAA
This 1179-nucleotide long non-coding RNA is filed under the name Theobroma cacao (cacao). Its description in RNAcentral is "long non-coding RNA (TCAC_LNC001276)". Lineage: Eukaryota; Viridiplantae; Streptophyta; Magnoliopsida; Malvales; Malvaceae. The record is from RNAcentral.